This 241-nucleotide long non-coding RNA is filed under the name Mytilus galloprovincialis (Mediterranean mussel). Lineage: Eukaryota; Metazoa; Mollusca; Bivalvia; Mytilida; Mytilidae. The record is from RNAcentral.
AUAAGGGGCCCAAAGGGUCCAAAAUUAACUUUGUUUGAUUUCAUCAAAAUUGAAUAAUUGGGGUUCUUUGAUAUGCCGAAUCUAACUGUCAUGACUGUGUAUGUAGAUUCUUAACUUUUGGUCCCGUUUUCAAAUUGGUCUACAUUAAGGUCCAAAGGGUCCAAAAUUAAACUUGGUUUGAUUUUGACAAAAAAUGAAUCAGUUGGUUCUUUUGAUAUGCUGAAUCUAAAAAUGUACUUAG